ACAUUGCCUUAUAUAGCCAUCAAGGCACACCCACUCAGAGCCAUGGUCAUUUGCAUAUGUAGACUGAAAGACAC
Pangasianodon gigas (Mekong giant catfish) is the source of this 74-nucleotide non-coding RNA. The record is from the annotation of a GenBank genome assembly. NCBI's taxonomy places the organism in Eukaryota, Metazoa, Chordata, Actinopteri, Siluriformes, Pangasiidae.